AAAAAGUCGUUGAACAAAAUAGUACAUUUGGCACGUACAUCACAGAGAGUCAGAGCAGGUGUGAACUGAUAUGGAAGGCUUUAUGGAAUGGGUUUGGGAGAUGCGUAGGUGAAUAUAUAAGUAGCUUACGACGUGGCCUCACGUUACAGGGGAAAGAUAUUAUAUACCGGUAGGUAUUAAGUAUCGGAAUGAGACAAGAUUUGUUUUUGUAAACGGUGGCAUAUCCAGUUUGGAUAUGUCUUUUUUUUAUACAGACAUCAGAGCGGAUGUCAAUGUAUAGACUACAUUUUCAAUCUUGUGAAUAAGGGUGGCACCACGUUAAGUGAAUAAGGAUGGCACCACGUUAAUUCGUCCCUGGC
Molecule: non-coding RNA, 359 nt
Filed under: Eubacterium sp.
Lineage: Bacteria; Bacillati; Bacillota; Clostridia; Eubacteriales; Eubacteriaceae
Description: T-box sequence
Rfam family: T-box leader
About the family: Uncharged tRNA acts as the effector for transcription antitermination of genes in the T-box leader family.
Source: RNAcentral